AUUGAACGCUGGCGGCAUGCCUUACACAUGCAAGUCGAACGGCAGCACGGGAGCUUGCUCCUGGUGGCGAGUGGCGAACGGGUGAGUAAUGCAUCGGAACGUGCCCUGAAGUGGGGGAUAACGUAGCGAAAGUUACGCUAAUACCGCAUAUUCUGUGAGCAGGAAAGCAGGGGAUCUUCGGACCUUGCGCUUUUUGGAGCGGCCGAUGUCGGAUUAGCUAGUUGGUGGGGUAAAGGCCCACCAAGGCGACGAUCCGUAGCGGGUCUGAGAGGAUGAUCCGCCACACUGGAACUGAGACACGGUCCAGACUCCUACGGGAGGCAGCAGUGGGGAAUUUUGGACAAUGGGCGCAAGCCUGAUCCAGCCAUGCCGCGUGAGUGAAGAAGGCCUC
RNAcentral lists this ribosomal RNA (391 nucleotides) under uncultured bacterium. Its description in RNAcentral is "bacterial SSU rRNA". It matches the Rfam family "Bacterial small subunit ribosomal RNA", at positions 30 to 418 of the family's 1533-position model. The record is from RNAcentral.